CAGGCCUAACACAUGCAAGUCGAGCGGAUGACGGGAGCUUGCUCCUUGAUUCAGCGGCGGACGGGUGAGUAAUGCCUAUGAAUCUGCCUGGUAGUGGGGGACAACGUUUCGAAAGGAACGCUAAUACCGCAUACGUCCUACGGGAGAAAGCAGGGGACCUUCGGGCCUUGCGCUAUCAGAUGAGCCUAGGUCGGAUUAGCUAGUUGGUGGGGUAAUGGCUCACCAAGGCGACGAUCCGUAACUGGUCUGAGAGGAUGAUCAGUCACACUGGAACUGAGACACGGUCCAGACUCCUACGGGAGGCAGCAGUGGGGAAUAUUGGACAAUGGGCGAAAGCCUGAUCCAGCCAUGCCGCGUGUGUGAAGAAGGUCUUCCGAUUGUAAAGCACUUUAAGUUGGGAGGAAGGGCAGUAAGCUAA
This 418-nucleotide ribosomal RNA is filed under the name uncultured Pseudomonas sp. RNAcentral describes it as "bacterial SSU rRNA". It matches the Rfam family "Bacterial small subunit ribosomal RNA", at positions 43 to 463 of the family's 1533-position model. Lineage: Bacteria; Pseudomonadati; Pseudomonadota; Gammaproteobacteria; Pseudomonadales; Pseudomonadaceae. The record is from RNAcentral.